UUUAUGGAGAGUUUGAUCCUGGCUCAGGAUGAACGCUGGCGGCGUGCCUAAUACAUGCAAGUCGAGCGAACGGACGAGAAGCUUGCUUCUCUGAUGUUAGCGGCGGACGGGUGAGUAACACGUGGAUAACCUACCUAUAAGACUGGGAUAACUUCGGGAAACCGGAGCUAAUACCGGAUGAUAUUUUGAACCGCAUGGUUCAAAAGUGAAAGACGGUCUUGCUGUCACUUAUAGAUGGAUCCGCGCUGCAUUAGCUAGUUGGUAAGGUAA
Molecule: ribosomal RNA, 270 nt
Filed under: Staphylococcus aureus
Lineage: Bacteria; Bacillati; Bacillota; Bacilli; Caryophanales; Staphylococcaceae
Description: partial 16S ribosomal RNA
Rfam family: Bacterial small subunit ribosomal RNA
Source: RNAcentral